AGCUCAUUUCAUGUCUAAUGGGUACACCACUAUGCGUGAAGAGAAUCUCGGAAAAAAAACAUAAUUAAACAAAUAAUCUAGCACGAAACCAGUAAGUACACAGAUGCUCUAAGCUGGCGGGGGCAAAAAUUUUCACAGGCGGUUUUAGUUGUAAUACGCCUGUGUUGUAAAUUUGUACGGCAAGAUUUAAAAACCGCUUGUGUAAAUAGGUCUGUACAAACGGUUCACAUAAGAAAACCG
This 240-nucleotide long non-coding RNA is filed under the name Sorghum bicolor (sorghum). Its description in RNAcentral is "long non-coding RNA (SBIC_LNC014656)". Lineage: Eukaryota; Viridiplantae; Streptophyta; Magnoliopsida; Poales; Poaceae. The record is from RNAcentral.